This 247-nucleotide unclassified non-coding RNA is filed under the name plant metagenome. RNAcentral's name for it is "partial contains small subunit ribosomal RNA, internal transcribed spacer 1, and 5.8S ribosomal RNA". The stretch from base 1 to 54 matches the Rfam family "Eukaryotic small subunit ribosomal RNA", at positions 1778 to 1831 of the family's 1831-position model. The record is from RNAcentral.
GGAAGCAAAAGUCGUAACAAGGUCUCCGUUGGUGAACCAGCGGAGGGAUCAUUACAGGGCUCGCAAGACUCCUACAACCCUGUGAACUUAACUAUAAGCACGUUGCUUCGGCGGGUGUCUCGGAGGGGGUUCUCCCUCCCCGAGACGCUAAACCCGCCGGCAGCCUACUAUACUCUGUCUCUUUGCGUUGGCAUCUCGAGUACAAUCAAACAAGUUAAAACUUUCAACAACGGAUCUCUUGGUUCUG